CCGGCCCAGGAGCCCUCCGGUCUCCGGGUCGUGGCCAUCGAGCACCUCCAGCUCCACGGCGAAGGGCGUCUGCACGUCCCGCUUCACCAGCCGCAGCAAGGGCUUCUCGGGCUCCAGAGCCCAGAGGAGCCCCAUGGGCUCGAGGCCCGUGAAGCUGCCGCCCAGCGCGGGCGCGCGCUCGAGGUCCAGCUGGCCGUGGGCGUCGGCGCAGUAGCGCGCAUGGGCUCGGAAGAGCGCGUCCUUCUCGUCGCGCAGGGACGCGCGCAGCGUGACCGGCUGCCCCGGGACCAGGCCGCGCACGGCGAUGCGCACCGGCUCGUCCCAGCGGCAGCGGCCCGCAGGCUCCAGCGUCACCGUCGCCGCCAUCCGGAUCCCAGCGGAGAAGGGGCGGCCCGGCUGAGUCAAGGGCAGGGCCUGGCGUCUCUCCACCUCCCUGGGAGGCAGUCGCAAUUGGAAUGUUUGCGCUGCUCCCGUUGGGCGGCCGAAGGUACACUUGCUGAACCUUUGUGAGGUCUCCUGGAGUUUGUGCAAUCCACUACUGCCUGCCUGGAAGAGUAUCUGCUAAAAUAAGAGUUUUAUGGUAAUUAUUAAUCCUGCGGUCCAAUAUGGCGAGUGUCGAAAUAGAAGUACAAAGAUUGCUGACAGCUAAAGGAUUGGGAAAGAUACCUGGCAGUUCCAAGAAGCUUGAGUAUUGUUGACUUUAAAAAAUGCACAGCGUGAAGAGUUAGUACCGACAGUGACACCUGGCUUCUCCUUGCUGCCUAUGACAAAAGAUACAAGAGGAAGAGGUUUCAACUCAGAGGGUGGAACCAAGAGCUACAGAUAACAACUCACAGAGAGUAAACUGAGCACCAAUGGAAGAAUUGGCAACAUGUUCUCAGCUGGAUUUCAGAAUGGCUAGGGGCCAGUGAGUGUCGUGUGCCUCCCAUAGUCCCCAUUAUUGAACAGGAAUAUCUUUCACAGAUCUUCAGAUUGAGAAGAAAGAUACUCAAGAAGCUAUACCGAAGGAAUUAUACCUGAGGAACUUCAUCUGUACCUGGACCUGAUAUAAAUGAUACAAUCUUAGACCUUGAGCCUGAGCAUGAUGCUAUAAUGGAAUGAGACUUUGGGCGGGGGCGGGCUUUAAAGGAGGGAUGGCCAUAUUUUACAGGUGGGAGGAAUGUGAACCUUUGUGGCUAGAAGGCAGAUUUUCCAAAGGUGGUUACAAUGUUUCCCAUUCCACCUGCUCUUUUAGAAUCUUUCCACUCUCCUUUUGAGAGGUGGACUCUAUGUUUUCCUUGAACUUGGUGGGUCUUUGUGAUUGCCUUGACCAUUAGUGUACAGCAAGCGUGAUGCUGUGUAGCUUCCAAGACUAGGUCAAAAACAUGCCAUACAAUUCAGCUUUGCUACGUUGGGAUGCUCACUCUUGGAACCCAGCCCAAUUAGCCAUUGUAAAGGCCCACAAGGAGAGAACUGAGACCCUGUGAACCAUAGCCCUGAGAUCUUAGCUGACAGCCAAUACCAACUUGCCUGCCAUGUAAGGACACAGGAAGAAGACAGCCGUCUAUAAGCCAGGAAGAGGUGCCACCAGGAACUGAAUCUGCCAGAACGUUGAUCUUGGACUUCCCAGCCUCCAGAACUGUGAGAAAUAAAUGUCUGUUGUUU
Long non-coding RNA from Mesoplodon densirostris (Blainville's beaked whale), 1644 nucleotides. RefSeq lists it as uncharacterized. The transcript is spliced from 5 exons. The record is from RefSeq and is a predicted model, not a curated record. NCBI's taxonomy places the organism in Eukaryota, Metazoa, Chordata, Mammalia, Artiodactyla, Ziphiidae.